GAUGAACGCUAGCGGCAGGCCUAACACAUGCAAGUCGAGGGGGAAGCCCUUUCGGGGGCAGAAACCGGCGCACGGGUGCGUAACGCGUAUGCAACCUACCUUUCACAGGGGGAUAGCCCGAAGAAAUUUGGAUUAAUACCCCAUAAUAUUAUUGGAUGGCAUCAUUUGAUAAUUAAAACUGCGGUGGUGAAAGAUGGGCAUGCGUCCUAUUAGCUAGUUGGAGUGGUAACGGCACCCCAAGGCUACGAUAGGUAGGGGUCCUGAGAGGGAGAUCCCCCACACUGGUACUGAGACAGGGACCAGACUCCUACGGGAGGCAGCAGUGAGGAAUAUUGGUCAAUGGUCGGAAGACUGAACCAGCCAUGCCGCGUGCAGGAAGAAUGCCUUAUGGGUGGUAAACUGCUUUUAUAUGGGAAGAAUAAGGCGUACGUGUACGUUGAUGACGGUACCAUAUGAAUAAGCAUCGGCUAACUCCGUG
RNAcentral lists this ribosomal RNA (478 nucleotides) under uncultured bacterium. RNAcentral's name for it is "partial 16S ribosomal RNA". It matches the Rfam family "Bacterial small subunit ribosomal RNA", at positions 28 to 507 of the family's 1533-position model. The record is from RNAcentral.